This 433-nucleotide ribosomal RNA is filed under the name uncultured bacterium. RNAcentral's name for it is "partial 16S ribosomal RNA". It matches the Rfam family "Bacterial small subunit ribosomal RNA", at positions 29 to 507 of the family's 1533-position model. The record is from RNAcentral.
AACGAACGCUGGCGGCAUGCCUAACACAUGCAAGUCGAACGAGACCUUCGGGUCUAGUGGCGCACGGGUGCGUAACGCGUGGGAACCUGCCCUUAGGUUCGGAAUAACUCCCCGAAAGGGGUGCUAAUACCGGAUAAUGUCUUCGGACCAAAGAUUUAUCGCCUUUGGAUGGGCCCGCGUUGGAUUAGCUAGUUGGUAGGGUAAAAGCCUACCAAGGCGACGAUCCAUAGCUGGUCUGAGAGGAUGAUCAGCCACACUGGGACUGAGACACGGCCCAGACUCCUACGGGAGGCAGCAGUGGGGAAUAUUGGACAAUGGGGGAAAGCCUGAUCCAGCAAUGACGCGUGAGUGAUGAAGGCAUUAGGGUUGUAAAGCUCUUUUAACCGGGAUGAUAAUGACAGUACCGGGAGAAUAAGCUCCGGCUAACUCCGUG